UACAGAGGUCCCAAGCGUUGUUCGGAUUCAUUGGGCGUAAAGGGUGCGUAGGCGGCGCGGGAAGUCGGGUGUGAAAUCUCGGAGCUUAACUCCGAAACUGCAUUCGAUACUGCCGUGCUUGAGGACUGGAGAGGAGACUGGAAUUUACGGUGUAGCGGUGAAAUUCGUAGAUAUUCGCAAGAACACCGGUGGCGAAGGCGGCCAACUGGACCAUUACUGACGCUGAGGCGCGAAAGCGUGGGGAGCAAACAGG
This 253-nucleotide ribosomal RNA is filed under the name uncultured bacterium. Its description in RNAcentral is "partial 16S ribosomal RNA". It matches the Rfam family "Bacterial small subunit ribosomal RNA", at positions 524 to 776 of the family's 1533-position model. The record is from RNAcentral.